This 569-nucleotide ribosomal RNA is filed under the name uncultured Gammaproteobacteria bacterium. RNAcentral describes it as "bacterial SSU rRNA". It matches the Rfam family "Bacterial small subunit ribosomal RNA", at positions 812 to 1381 of the family's 1533-position model. Lineage: Bacteria; Pseudomonadati; Pseudomonadota; Gammaproteobacteria. The record is from RNAcentral.
UCGAUUUGGAGUUUGUUGCCUAGAGUGAUGGGCUCCGAAGCUAACGCGAUAAAUCGACCGCCUGGGGAGUACGGCCGCAAGGUUAAAACUCAAAUGAAUUGACGGGGGCCCGCACAAGCGGUGGAGCAUGUGGUUUAAUUCGAUGCAACGCGAAGAACCUUACCUGGUCUUGACAUCCACAGAAUCUUUCAGAGAUGAGAGAGUGCCUUCGGGAACUGUGAGACAGGUGCUGCAUGGCUGUCGUCAGCUCGUGUUGUGAAAUGUUGGGUUAAGUCCCGCAACGAGCGCAACCCUUAUCCUUUGUUGCCAGCGAUUAGGUCGGGAACUCAAAGGAGACUGCCGUUGAUAAAACGGAGGAAGGUGGGGACGACGUCAAGUCAUCAUGGCCCUUACGACCAGGGCUACACACGUGCUACAAUGGCGUAUACAAAGGGAAGCGAAGGUGCGAGCUGGAGCGGACCUCCUAAAGUACGUCUAAGUCCGGAUUGGAGUCUGCAACUCGACUCCAUGAAGUCGGAAUCGCUAGUAAUCGUGAAUCAGAAUGUCACGGUGAAUACGUUCCCGGGCCU